This 253-nucleotide ribosomal RNA is filed under the name uncultured bacterium. RNAcentral describes it as "partial 16S ribosomal RNA". It matches the Rfam family "Bacterial small subunit ribosomal RNA", at positions 524 to 776 of the family's 1533-position model. The record is from RNAcentral.
UACAGAGGUGGCAAGCGUUGUUCGGAUUUAUUGGGCGUAAAGGGUCCGUAGGCGGUUUGGAAAGUCGGAUGUGAAAUCCCACAGCUCAACUGUGGAACUGCAUUCGAAACUUCCAGACUGGAGUGUGAGAGGGGUAAAGGGAAUUCCCGGUGUAAGGGUGAAAUCUGCAGAGAUCGGGAAGAACACCAGUCGCGAAGGCGCUUUACUGGCUCACAACUGACGCUGAGGGACGAAAGCUAGGGGAGCAAACGGG